UGCGCAGGUAGCGCAAUGCCGGCACAUCGCCCACUUCCACUGGGCGAGAACCGACUACGGAGUCCAGUUCGUCGCGGAUCUUCGCGGC
This 88-nucleotide transfer RNA is filed under the name Mycolicibacterium aichiense. RNAcentral's name for it is "tRNA-Gly". Lineage: Bacteria; Bacillati; Actinomycetota; Actinomycetes; Mycobacteriales; Mycobacteriaceae. The record is from RNAcentral.